Molecule: ribosomal RNA, 510 nt
Filed under: uncultured bacterium
Lineage: Bacteria
Description: bacterial SSU rRNA
Rfam family: Bacterial small subunit ribosomal RNA
Source: RNAcentral
AAUCAACGCUGGCGGCGUGCCUCAGACAUGCAAGUCGAACGAUUAAACUUUCCUUCGGGGAAGAUAUAAAGUGGCGCACGGGUGAGUAACACGUAAGUAAUCUACCUUCGAGUGGGGAAUAACAUCGGGAAACCGAUGCUAAUACCGCAUAACGCAGCGGCAUCUUAUGGUGACAGUUGUUAAAGGAGCAAUUCGCUUGAAGAGGAGCUUGCGGCAGAUUAGCUAGUUAGUAAGGUAAUGGCUUACCAAGGCUUCGAUCUGUAUCCGGUCUAAGAGGACGGUCGGACACACUGACACUGAAUAACGGGUCAGACUCCUACGGGAGGCAGCAGUCGGGAAUUUGGGCAAUGGGCGAAAGCCUGACCCAGCAACGCCGCGUGAAGGAUGAAGUAUUUCGGUAUGUAAACUUCGAAAGAAUGGGAAGAACUCAAUGACGGUACCAUUUAUAAGCUCCGGCUAACUACGUGCCAGCAGCCGCGGUAAUACGUAGGGAGCAAGCGUUGUUCGGUA